Molecule: long non-coding RNA, 1927 nt
Organism: Gallus gallus (chicken)
Lineage: Eukaryota; Metazoa; Chordata; Aves; Galliformes; Phasianidae
Source: Ensembl
CGGGUUUUAAUCAGAAUAGAACUUCCUCUGACAGAACGAGGAAAGGCUGGCGCUCAGGUUGGCCCCAUUGGCCGUGCAGGAUCCCACAUCCCCUCUCUGUGCCCCCAGGGUGGCUUUGUCAGCUUACCCAAGGGAUGCUGUCACCCUGGGGGUGGUGACAAAGGCUUUCGUCAGCCUCAGGCUGAGCAAAUUGGGGGCACAGGGGGAAGUGUGAGAGAGAGCAUCCCCAGAGCUGCAUCCCCUGUGCUCAGGGAUGGGCACACGCUGACAUCUCAGCCAGCUGCUCCCGCGUCCCAUCAGCAAAGUCCCCGUGCAAAUGAAAGCUCCUCGCUGUGGCGCACAGGAAAUGGGCCUCAGCCUCAGCUCCAAAGCACCAGAACUCAUUCCAGGCGCGGAGGGAAACAUUUCCUUUCAUCUCAGGCCAGGAGUGGAAGCGGCCCUUUCGUCUCCCCCCGCCCCAUUCCCCCCCCCAGAUGGAGCUUUGAAGGCUGGCGGGGCCCUCCCACAUGUGCUGCUGGGGCUGUGAGCGGUGUCUGCUGCGGGACGGGGGGAGCAGAGGGUGGGGAGCAGCCCAGUGGGGCUCUGCCCUCGGAGGUGCCCAAAUGGGGCCGUGAUCCCACAGCCCACCCUCCCCCAGCCCCAUCUCCAGGCAUGGGGACAUCCAUGGGAUGGAGGGCAGUGGGACCACCGCAGGCAUCACUUGGCUGCUUGGGGUUUCUGUGGGCUCUUCUUCCCCAGCAGGAAGGUCGUUUGUGAUGGGGGUGGAGCGGCUGCCCUUCGCUCUGUAAUGCCUUCAGGGUUUGGGUUUUGGGAGGUUUUUGGAGUUUUGGGGGCUUUCUGCCCAAGGGCUGCGAGGAGGGCAAAGGGGUUUUACAUGGGCUGUAGGGACAGAGUUACAGAGAAGUGUUACAGGGUCAUGGAGUCUCCCAGGCUGGAAGGGACCCAUAGGGACCAUUGAGUCCACCUCCUGCCUGCUGGUGUAGGUGGGGUGGGGAAGGAUCCUCACCCCUCCCCCCCCCAAAUUCUUCUUCUUUCCAACCCAUUUAUUGAUAGCAGAGCAAUGGAGGGCGACGCCCACGUGGCAGUGGGAGGGUGCGCACCCCAUCCUCUCCCAUCCCACCCCAACUCAAGCUAAGGCGCUGCCCCACAUGGGCCACGGAGAGGACCCAGGACCUUCCCUCCAUCCCUGGCGCAGCUCCGGUUUGGCCCAGAGCUCGGAGGGAGGAGAUGCUGAGCACUGAGUCAGCUGUGAGCGCAAAGCCGCUCACAUAGAAAUAACUCCGCGUUCUUUGGGACGUGCAUCAGCAGCAUCACCCGACUGCCCCUCUGCUCUGCGCUUUGUGGCCUCAUCCCACCGGUGGGCUUUGGGAGAACAGCCUGAGGGAAGCCAUGCAACCGUGCUGCUUUUUCCAGAAGCAGAUGAAGCAAAUCCUCCCAUAAAUGCCUUCCUCGUUGCUGACUGCUCUGCUUUCCCACAGACGUUGAAGCUGAUGCAGGAGGACUGAAGCAGCGCGGAGCGUUGGGCAGGCAGUGUGUGCACACAGACAGGAUGAAGCCACGACGCUCCCUACGGAACGAACCCCCUGCUUUGCAUCCCACGGCACCGUCUGAGGCCGCAGCAUCUCCUGCUGGAAGUGAUUCACUGCAGUGCACAGCGGGAUGGAGCUGAGCUCCCAGCUGUGCCUUUGGGGUCUGCGCUCUGUGAGUCACCAACAUCCAGUCCUGGUGCAAGGCUGGGGCCGGCCGCUUACUGGGAGCACUGCGAUGGAGCUCUGUGCCACCACCUGAAAAGAGAAACCCGAGGCAAGGAGUUACAGGAUGGAAGGGUUUAUUGGGGGUUUGCUCCUGGCCAGGAGGUGUUUGCCAAAGUUUGCAGGGCUUGGAGCGUGGAGAUGUGCUGCUGUGGUGGCUGAAAGGAAAGUGAGGG